This is a long non-coding RNA of Wasmannia auropunctata (little fire ant), 122 nucleotides long. RefSeq lists it as uncharacterized. NCBI's taxonomy places the organism in Eukaryota, Metazoa, Arthropoda, Insecta, Hymenoptera, Formicidae. The transcript is spliced from 2 exons. The record is from RefSeq and is a predicted model, not a curated record.
UCGUGGGAUGAGAAUACACGUGCAAAGUAGUGAGACUUUUACGGAGCAAUGAAGACACGUCGCAGCGGGCGGGCAAGGAGAGAAAGACUCAAAUCAAAAUCGAAAUCAAAACCAAAGGAGAU